This 99-nucleotide ribosomal RNA is filed under the name Mus musculus (house mouse). RNAcentral describes it as "partial ribosomal RNA". The record is from RNAcentral. Lineage: Eukaryota; Metazoa; Chordata; Mammalia; Rodentia; Muridae.
CAUUCGUAGACGACCUGCUUCUGGGUCGGGGUUUCGUACGUAGCAGGCAGCUCCCUCGCUGCGAUCUAUUGAAAGUCAGCCCUCGACACAAGGGUUUGU